This 275-nucleotide ribosomal RNA is filed under the name uncultured Sphingobacteriales bacterium. Its description in RNAcentral is "partial 16S ribosomal RNA". It matches the Rfam family "Bacterial small subunit ribosomal RNA", at positions 505 to 780 of the family's 1533-position model. The record is from RNAcentral. Lineage: Bacteria; Pseudomonadati; Bacteroidota; Sphingobacteriia; Sphingobacteriales.
GUGCCAGCCGCCGCGGUAAUACGGAGGGUGCAAGCGUUGUCCGGAUUUAUUGGGUUUAAAGGGUGCGUAGGCGGCCCGCUAAGUCUGUGGUGAAAUCCCGGGGCUCAACCCCGGAACUGCCCUGGAUACUGACGGGCUUGAGUUCGGUUAAGGCGGGCGGAACUGGUGGUGUAGCGGUGAAAUGCAUAGAUACCACCAAGAACCCCGAUUGCGUAGGCAGCUCGCUGAGCCGAAACUGACGCUGAGGCACGAAAGCGUGGGGACGAACAGGAUUA